AUGCACGCUGGCGGCGUGCCUAAUCCCUGCCAGUCGCGCGCACAGACGAGGAGCUUGCUCCUCUGACGUUAGCGGCGGACGGGUGAGUAACACGUGGAUAACCUACCUAUAAGACUGGGAUAACUUCGGGAAACCGGAGCUAAUACCGGAUAAUAUAUUGAACCGCAUGGUUCAAUAGUGAAAGACGGUUUUGCUGUCACUUAUAGAUGGAUCCGCGCCGCAUUAGCUAGUUGGUAAGGUAACGGCUUACCAAGGCAACGAUGCGUAGCCGACCUGAGAGGGUGAUCGGCCACACUGGAACUGAGACACGGUCCAGACUCCUACGGGAGGCAGCAGUAGGGAAUCUUCCGCAAUGGGCGAAAGCCUGACGGAGCAACGCCGCGUGAGUGAUGAAGGUCUUCGGAUCGUAAAACUCUGUUAUUAGGGAAGAACAAAUGUGUAAGUAACUAUGCACGUCUUGACGGUACCUAAUCAGAAAGCCACGGCUAACUACGUG
This 496-nucleotide ribosomal RNA is filed under the name uncultured bacterium. RNAcentral's name for it is "partial 16S ribosomal RNA". It matches the Rfam family "Bacterial small subunit ribosomal RNA", at positions 29 to 507 of the family's 1533-position model. The record is from RNAcentral.